GGGGGCGCACCGGUUUCGACGGGGCCCUGAGGACACAGAUUGCGAGUAGAGGAUUCUCGUUGGCCUCUAUAAAAACGAGAAAAUUAAAUUUAAACGCUAACAAUAACUUAGCUCUUCAGGCUGCCUAAUCGCGGCCUGCGUCGACCCGUAAGUCAGCCGGGCUUGCGGCAAUCGGUGUCAUCGAGCCGGCCCCGCGAACGAGACAGGUUAGCGUUCGGUACAGAUUAUCUUAAGCUUUGCGGAUAAUUGGUCUUUAUGAAGCUACUAUAGGCAGAUCCCCGUUUGCCGGGUGCAGCUUAUGGGAAUUUUAAUAGGCAGACUACACUCGUAGAGAUUUGUGGAUGAUUGGUUUCGGACAGGGGUUCGACUCCCCUCGCCUCCAGUU
Molecule: transfer-messenger RNA, 385 nt
Filed under: Clostridia
Lineage: Bacteria; Bacillati; Bacillota
Also listed under: 1 other name
Description: SIG424 sp015069185 Standard tmRNA
Rfam family: transfer-messenger RNA
About the family: Bacterial tmRNA, also known as 10Sa RNA or SsrA, is named for its dual tRNA and mRNA-like properties. Its role is to liberate the mRNA from a stalled ribosome.
Source: RNAcentral